UGCAGCCACCUGGCAGCUUGUCAAACGUUAGCCGCAUGUGCCAGGUUUUUGAACCUGCAAACGAAAACAGUAGUUUAACGCAACGUUAAUGACUUCGUCUCGCCCAACAUUUCGAAAAGCACCAGAGGGCGUCCGUGUUUGAGUCGGAUGUGUGCUUUCAUAUUGUCUUUUCUCGUGAACGACUGCUGGCACAAUGGACACCGAUUCGAUUGCGGACGAUGUAUGGAAGAGUGAUGCCAACGAUUGCUCACUGUUUUUCCACAUAUUUUACAAUUGUACAGACUAGGCGAAUCCGAUAUCUUGUCGAACAUCUCGCAAUAAUCGGCGGCCGGCGCGCGAGUCUCUACGAUCGUCGGUAUUUUCGUUUCGUAGCUCAUUUGUUCUGGAUGAUAGAAAGAUGAUGGUUGGUACGCCUGUCCCUGUUCCUGCCACGUAGCUGGAACAGAGAGAGGACCCAUCAUCACCAUCUACCAAAACAAUAGCAAUAUCACAGCAAUAUUCUAUUGUCUUUUCAAUUGCAACUGACUGCAAGCAAAAAUUCAAUGCAUAAGCGGUUAGUGUUUUGCGAGAUUUAUCGCAUACAUUUUUUCGUUAUGUUAUAAAUAAACAUUACUCUUAUGAUGUGUGUACAGUUUGUAAAAGCAGUUUCUGGAAAUGUGUGUUAAAUAUAUCAAGUGACGACUGAAAUAAAUUUAUAACGAUAUUUAUACUGCCUCUUAAAUAAGGUCCUAAAAAUUUUACAAUUUUGGUGACGUUGAAAUAACAGCUUUAUUAAAGUUUUAUUAAAAAAAAUCAAUCAAUGAAACUCUUGUGCAACUAGGAAAAUUUAUUAAACAACGUGAAACGACAAAUUAUAAAUACUUUAAUUUUUUGCUUAGGCAUGUUGAAAGUAGUAAAACUAAUGAAUAAGAAGUUUAAAUUAUUUUUAUUAACUAGUGAUUUAAAUGCUAACAAUAGUUAAGUCACCAUUUUAUGCCUGGCAAACUAGGUGAACAACUGAAAGCUGCAUAUAGUUUUUACUGAAUCCAAUCUUUGUAAAUGCAUGAUAUUUGUACUUGUAGAUGCAAUGCAUCAACUUUAAGUAUCAAUAUUGUAUUUAUAUAUUACAUGUAUAUCUUCAUGACCAAAAAGAUCGCCAGUGUGCAAAACCAAGAGCUGCACAACUCUAAUAUAACUUACAUAACUUAUCGAAAUGCCCUAUUUUUAAGUCACAUAAAAUCUAGUUGUUUCAACAACGAACUUUCACUAAAAAAGUGACAAUGAAGAUAUCAUAAAAAAAAACGAAAAACAAAAAAAAUCAAAAGAUUAGAGUAUCAUAAAUAAUAAUGAGAAAUUUAGGAACAAGAUAAUCGUUCAAACCUGCAAUGCAUUAAUGCGGCUAAAAAGACGAACUAUAAUCGUCAUAACAGAGAAUACCCAAGGGUCGCGAAACGUCACGAACAAACAGCGGAUUUCAGGGGGUGACCCGGCAAACCACCAGUACAAUGACGCACCUAAACCUCCCGUCGGACCGUUUAACUUUCAGAUGGCUAAAUGAAAGGUUAGUUUUUCCUUCAAAUUGACGCAUAUUCAGCGGCAUCGAUUUUACACAUUAGAUAUAAAACCCAACAUUACAAACACAGUUGUACAGACGACAAUUUAGGAAAAAAAAAAAAACAUUUAGUUACUUGAACUGCAAUCGAACCUUACUACAUGCAGCUACGGUGGCAGCCUAUGGACCACUUGAAGUUACCCGGUUUAGUCCGCUCUCUGCUCAUGAAAUUAAAUUAGACACUAACUUUGGGAAUCGUUACCAUUAUCCUACAAUAUAUCCACGUGACUACUUCAUUCACUGUUAACUGAAUACGGGCAAAUAACAGUUGAGGUGAAAUAAGGUAUAAAAUUGGAGGAGAAAUCUAAACCUUAUGCUCGCAGUGAUUCUGCGGAAAUAAUAAAAAAAUAAACAAUGUAUACAAUGUUCAUGUAUUGUGUAUAUUAACAAUAAAUGAGACGUUCUAAACAAAAAACAAUGAUUAUUAAACAUUACGUUUUCUUCAAAGAAAACCAACUAAAAUUAUUUUCUUAUGUAUGUUGCGGUUAAAUAUAGUUAAAUUAAUCAGUUAAGUUUAAAACGUAAUGCAUACCUACAUAACAGUUGGUACGUCAUUUACGCAAUAAUUUGUUUUCCAAUAGUUUUAAAGAAAAUUACAGUUCGUUACAUAACUUUGUCGAGAAUAAUUUUUACUGGACUGCUAAGACGAAAUGUAAGUCUACACUAAAACGUUUCACGUGCGAAAAAAAAAUGCUCUAGUAUAUCAGUGCUACAAGGUUUUAAUGUCCUAGAAUAAAAAUCAUUUAUUAAGUCAAGUAUGUUCUCUAACUAAUGAUAAGCAAUAACCUGAAUAACAUUUAAACGGUUUAAACUAAUACCUAAUUUGGAUAAGUAGCUAGUGGCAAGGCAUAUACUUCACGAAAUAUUCAUAAAGAUUCUAAAGGAUUAACUUCUUAUAUGUUGAAUAUGCAAGAAGUUUUGUAAAUGAAAUAAACAAGGAUUUAACAUCACAGAUUAUAAUAAAGACUUUUGAUUUUGCGUUUUCAUCUCUUGGACGUUUUUGCUAAAAAUUACUGUUUCUAGUAAAUCGACAAACUGUUUAUUAAACAAAAUAAUUUAUUAAGAUUCUUCCAACAACCAGGAAGACUUCAAUUUUUGAGUUAAUUGUUAAAAAACAUUUGUAUUGUUACUUCUUGGUACUAAUCUCCCAUACUACCUAUUAUUUAAGUUUGUGUUAACCAACUGAGCGAAAAUAAAUCGUAUUGUGAUUCGAAUCGAAGCUCAACAACGACGAAUUGUUUGCCAAAUGACUUCGUCAUUUUUAUUUUUAAAAGAAAACGGCAGCUUCUAGCAGAAAAGUGCAAGAGGUAAAAAAAUAGCUAAGAACACUUUACGGUUUCGAUCGCGACUUGCCUUACAUACGAAAAAAUAUUUCACGUUAAACAAUUAAGAAAACAGGACAAAACUAAACAAUAGUACGAAAAUUUGAUGAAAUACGUCCCCGGAAUAACAUUUCUUGCCAACUAACUUGAUAAACUGAAGUGUAGAAUUUUUAGAACCGUAUACUACUAUAUAUUUUAAAAUGUAAAAGCUUCUUUGUCAUUGGAAAAAUAGGUCAACCUGGUUUCUCAAAUCUUGUUUUAAGCCAAUAUUCUACUCUUGGUUCAAACCAUCGAGUGGCAACAAACAUAUGUUUUAUAAAAGGUACAAAGAUUGAGAUAAAGAGUGUAAUACUAGCAACUGUUUCAAAGUUCUAUGCUUAAUUUUUAUCUA
Zophobas morio is the source of this 3304-nucleotide long non-coding RNA. RefSeq lists it as uncharacterized. The transcript has 3 exons. The record is from RefSeq and is a predicted model, not a curated record. Lineage: Eukaryota; Metazoa; Arthropoda; Insecta; Coleoptera; Tenebrionidae.